GUUGGGUAGAGUGGCGUCUAUCUGUAGCUCAAGCUUCUGGAGAACUGGUUGGGUGAAGGCUUGAGUAGUGGGUCCCUGCUGAUGAUUUCGAUCCAUGUCGAGGGCGUUGUCCUCUGGAGCCUAGUGUUGACAUUGGCAUCUUCAAGUAAUUGCGAGAUGGCAAGGUUAUUAAAGACUUGGGGAACGCGUGAGGCUGGCAACAGAGCAACGAAAACCAAGCGCACUGGAGCAGUCAGAGGUUGGCAAGUCUGAGUGGAUGGUCACCAGUAGCCGCUACAAUAAAGUUCGACUACCGACUUA
Molecule: non-coding RNA, 300 nt
Organism: Basidiobolus meristosporus CBS 931.73
Lineage: Eukaryota; Fungi; Basidiobolomycota; Basidiobolomycetes; Basidiobolales; Basidiobolaceae
Rfam family: Metazoan signal recognition particle RNA
About the family: The signal recognition particle (SRP) is a universally conserved ribonucleoprotein.
Source: Rfam